This 235-nucleotide ribosomal RNA is filed under the name uncultured bacterium. RNAcentral describes it as "partial 16S ribosomal RNA". It matches the Rfam family "Bacterial small subunit ribosomal RNA", at positions 96 to 334 of the family's 1533-position model. The record is from RNAcentral.
UGGCGGACGGGUGGGUAAUGUCUGGGAAACUGCCUGAUGGAGGGGGAUAACUACUGGAAACGGUAGCUAAUACCGCAUAACGUCGCAAGACCAAAGAGGGGGACCUUCGGGCCUCUUGCCAUCGGAUGUGCCCAGAUGGGAUUAGCUAGUAGGUGGGGUAACGGCUCACCUAGGCGACGAUCCCUAGCUGGUCUGAGAGGACGGCCAGCCACACUGGAACUGAGACACGGUCCAG